RNAcentral lists this ribosomal RNA (484 nucleotides) under uncultured bacterium. RNAcentral's name for it is "partial 16S ribosomal RNA". It matches the Rfam family "Bacterial small subunit ribosomal RNA", at positions 29 to 507 of the family's 1533-position model. The record is from RNAcentral.
AUUGAACGCUGGCGGCAUGCUUUACACAUGCAAGUCGAACGGCAGCGCGGGCUUCGGCCUGGCGGCGAGUGGCGAACGGGUGAGUAAUACAUCGGAACGUGCCCAGUAGUGGGGGAUAGCUCGGCGAAAGCCGGAUUAAUACCGCAUACGACCUGAGGGUGAAAGCGGGGGAUCUUCGGACCUCGCGCUAUUUGAGCGGCCGAUGGCAGAUUAGCUAGUUGGUGGGGUAAAGGCCUACCAAGGCGACGAUCUGUAGCUGGUCUGAGAGGACGACCAGCCACACUGGGACUGAGACACGGACCAGACUCCUACGGGAGGCAGCAGUGGGGAAUUUUGGACAAUGGGCGAAAGCCUGAUCCAGCAAUGCCGCGUGUGUGAUGAAGGCCUUCGGGUUGUAAAGCACUUUUGGCGGGAACGAAAAGGACUGUGCCAAUACCACGGUUCGAUGACGGUACCCGCAGAAUAAGCACCGGCUAACUACGUG